AGCAGUGGGGAAUUUUGGACAUUGGGGGAAACCCUGAUCCAGCAAUGCCGCGUGUGUGAAGAAGGCGUUCGGGUUGUAAAGCACUUUUGUCCGGAAAGAAAACUUCUGCCCUAAUACGGCGGGAGGAUGACGGUACCGGAAGAAUAAGCACCGGCUAACUACGUGCCAGCAGCCGCGG
Molecule: ribosomal RNA, 178 nt
Filed under: uncultured Burkholderia sp.
Lineage: Bacteria; Pseudomonadati; Pseudomonadota; Betaproteobacteria; Burkholderiales; Burkholderiaceae
Description: partial 16S ribosomal RNA
Rfam family: Bacterial small subunit ribosomal RNA
Source: RNAcentral